This 1133-nucleotide long non-coding RNA is filed under the name Oryctolagus cuniculus (rabbit). RNAcentral describes it as "lncRNA (ENSOCUG00000030916.1)". Lineage: Eukaryota; Metazoa; Chordata; Mammalia; Lagomorpha; Leporidae. The record is from RNAcentral.
CAUAAAUCUAAAAAAAAACCCAGGAAUUAUACUUGCCUAAUUAUACUAUUCAUUUAGCAUUUCAUCCACCACUUCCUUUCUCCAGGAGAAUUGUGAAGGUAAUGUUUAUGUUUGAUAUCUGAGCUGGAAAUCCCAAUGCAUCAUGGGUUCAUAACCAAAGAUGAACAGGGUUUCCCGCUGCAGUGGCUUCUGGACUGAGAGGGGAGAGAUUUGGGUUCUGGCCAAGGCUUUGCCUCUAGUAGCUCGAUUCCUCUGGGUAAGUUUUUGUAUGGGGAUGGAAUUAGGGAUCAUCUAGUCCAGCCUUCAUUGGAUGGAGGCAUUUCAUCUGUGAAAUCUGGCUGGUGAGUAUCUGUUCUGCUUAUUUUCUGGGCCUCAGUGUGCUGUCGUUUGUACAAUAAGGAGAGCUGAUAAAUGAUUUGAUCAAGGGACCAAGUUGGGGCUAGGAAGGUUGAAAAAGCAGAUGCCAGGACCCUUAAGACUAAAUGUAAUGACAUCACAGUCUGAUAAACUUUAGUUAGGGUCUAAAUAAGAACCCCUGAGCCCUAUUUGAGUCUUCUCUCUCCAUAGGUCCACUCUCCUCUGGUCAAUAGUGGGGAAUGUUCUAGGACAGUGGGGCACCUAUAAUUUGGCCUGGAGCCACUCAUAGUUCCCCGGCAGCCUUCUUAAAGGAGCUAAAGUUAGGAUGUCAAGUGAGCCUGUGCAUUUCUGAGCUGGGUAUUAUUCUAAGGUCCUGCGGUUUCAGCUGGCCUCUUUCCCUUGCUUAGUGCCUCCAUCCUCUUGCUUUGUUUUACAGCCUGCAAACCUCAAGGGCAUGCAGUUGGGUCAAGCUGAAAUCAGCUGAAGGCUUGCAGCAGCAUUUAUCUGAGGAAGGACCCUUGGGUCAUUGUCAUGGUGGAUUGGCUGGUGAUUUGGUCAAGGAUUGGGUGGGUGGAGGCUACUUCUUCCAAGGCCUUAGGUCGUUGAUGGUCAAAUCCCUGUGGAUCCCAGGAGCUGGUAUUUCUAGCUGGUAUGCACCAUUGAUUUCAAAUGGCAUCCACUUUCUUUCUACUUUCUUGGAUUAAUUUAGUCCAAAAUAACUUUUGGUCUGGGUCAUUUAAUGUCUGAUGGGUGUACAUCCAUGGGUCUUAUCAACU